CGGUGUCUUUGAUUUUAUUUCCGCGUGAAGGAUGUGUGAAGCUGCACGUCUAUUCUCUGGCCCGAUGCCUGCUCGUAUGGAGCUCAUGGUCCCGCAUGGCAUCCGUCGUAUUGUUUACUCGUUUGAAUUUGAUGUGUGCCAGCAACGCCCAAGUCCAAAGAAUAUCGUUGGUCUCGUUUGAAGCCCAAAUCCACAUGCUUGAUUGAACUCUAUUUGUUUAAAACAAGCCGAGAAGGACAUGUGAAAACUAUUACUGUAUCCUUCAUGGUUCAUCACUUUUCUAUGGACCAAGUGGUCUAUGGUGGAU
Molecule: long non-coding RNA, 307 nt
Filed under: Elaeis guineensis (African oil palm)
Lineage: Eukaryota; Viridiplantae; Streptophyta; Magnoliopsida; Arecales; Arecaceae
Description: long non-coding RNA (EGUI_LNC058173)
Source: RNAcentral